RNAcentral lists this transfer RNA (65 nucleotides) under Dipodomys ordii (Ord's kangaroo rat). It matches the Rfam family "tRNA". From Rfam's summary of the family: Transfer RNA (tRNA) molecules are approximately 80 nucleotides in length. Their secondary structure includes four short double-helical elements and three loops (D, anti-codon, and T loops). Lineage: Eukaryota; Metazoa; Chordata; Mammalia; Rodentia; Heteromyidae. The record is from Rfam by way of RNAcentral.
GGUGGCUAAGUGGUAGAGCACUUGCCUUGCAUGCAUGAGGUCUUGGGUUUGAUUCCUCAGUACCA